GAUGAAGAACGCAGCGAAAUGCGAUAAGUAAUGUGAAUUGCAGAAUUCAGUGAAUCAUCGAAUCUUUGAACGCACAUUGCGCCCACUAGUAUUCUGGUGGGCAUGCCUGUUCGAGCGUCAUUUCAACCCUUAAGCCUAGCUUAGUAUUGGGAACUUACUCUUCUGUAAUUCCUUAAAUUCAACGGCGGAUCUGUGGUGUCCUCUGAGCGUAGUAAAUUUUUAUCUCGCUUUUGUUAGGUGCUGCAGCUCUCGGCCGCUAAACCCCCCAAUUUUUAAUGGUUGACCUCGGAUCAGGUAGGAAUACCCGCUGAACUUAAGCAUAUCAAUAAGCCGGAGGA
RNAcentral lists this unclassified non-coding RNA (338 nucleotides) under soil metagenome. RNAcentral describes it as "partial contains 5.8S ribosomal RNA, internal transcribed spacer 2, and large subunit ribosomal RNA". The stretch from base 1 to 120 matches the Rfam family "5.8S ribosomal RNA", at positions 35 to 154 of the family's 154-position model. The record is from RNAcentral.